CGACGCACACGGUUUAGGCGCGGAACUAGUCUAAGAGAGGUUCUAAGAUGCUAUCUGCACCGACUAAGUGACUGGGAAAGUCGGUUACCUCUUCUCCCUCCUCCUCUCGGUCCGGGGCGACGACCUCGGGUCCGGCCGCCGCCGCCUCUUACCGCCCCCACUGUACCAGCCGCUGCCUCCCCGCCUUCUCCUCCUCCACCCCGACCCCGCAGUCGACGACCUCCUCUUGGCCUUCGACACCCGCCACCGCCCCGGCAGGUAGACGUGCGCGAAGAGGUGGAAGCCCCAGUGGCACUAGUCGGUCCGGAAGUAGCCGGUGUAGCCGGGGUGGCUCGAGCGGCGGAUGCGGGAGCAGAGGUGGCACGAGUACGCGAAGUCGUUGCCGUAUGACGAGACCGCCGGCGAAUCGGCGGGAGCCCUGGCCCUGCGGUAGAGGCGGAAGUAGCGGCUGGAGGCGAGCUACCGGCAGGCGGACAGCGGCGGUGGUGGCGGCGGAGGCGGACUCGGACUAAUCAGCAGACAAACGAGAGGCCGGAACCGGGGCCGACUCGGACAGAGAAUAAAGCACACACAAAACCCGAACAACUCGACACAGGAGUCGUCAUGGAGACCUAAAUAACAACACGCUGAACCCACACACAAGACUUGAUCAGGAACAUACACGAGAACCGCUAAACGAAAUAAAUAUUUCACCCCGCUUUCGGAAAAAGCCAAUUUUGUUGGGGUAACCUAAAAAGAAGGUAAAAUGUAGGACUCGGCCAGACCCAAUGAUGAUGAAUUAUGGUACGCGAGAAACAGGCCAUCUGGUCACCGUAACGUGGUCAAGUCUCUAAAGUCUCAGAAGUGACGUAGUCUUUGUUUAAACAGAGUUGGGUCUUUUCAGACUACUAGAGUUUGUGUUGAUGAUUAUUGCACGCAUUUGACUUACGUCGACCCGUACCGCUCGCGCGACCUCUGCAACACGCCCGUCAGCAUGCCCCGCUUCGUCAUGGUGUACUACCCGUAGAUGGACGUCGCCAGGACCUAGUAGGAUUCGCCGACGCGGCACGAGUACGAGGGGUAGAAGUAUAAGUGGCUCGGCGACGAGCAGAAGUAGCCGGUCCUGGGGUGGUAGUCGCGGCAGCGACCGUGGUAGAGGUAGACCAUGUAGGGGCAGUACAAGCGGUCGCAGAAGUUGAAGUGCGACGUCUACAUGGACGUCCGCGUCUCGUUCUUGUACUAGUAGUGGAUGGAGCGGAAGCAGUUGGAGCCGGAGGUGGACAAGGACAGCACCGAGGACUGGCAGUUCGACGUGGAACCCGAGCGGCCCCAGUACUGGAGGUACCAGUAGCGGUACACCUAAGGACGCAAGCCCGUCGAGUAGAAGCAGGAGAAGCCACCGACGGGAGAGUGCACCUGCCCCAAGAGGAAGUGUCGUGAGUGGCUGGAGCAGGGAUAGAAGUUCGAGAGAGACAGGAGACCACACUACGAGAAAAACCUUAACACCAUGUCGUGGUAUGACCACGAGGACUGGCCCAUGUACUUCUUACGUCUCUCACGUGAACUGCGAGAAAGUUAUACGGAAUUGUAGUUACCAACCCUCUACUACUAGAGAUAGCCGAAAAACCGACGUUGUCCUCACGCACACCGUUUACUCGAGCCUCGUCCUUCACGUUUUUCCCGGUUCAAGCGGUAGAAUUUACAGCAGCGGUGAAGAAAGAGUUAACCGGAACACAACAAGCACAAGAAAGAAAAGAAGGCACCCUUCGAAAGGAUGUAUAAAUGGUGCUCACUCCUCCAUCGACGGAAUCAACGACUGGACAGUGGAGAAGACCGGAAGAGGUAGAACGACUUGUCACAAGUUGGUCACGAUAGUCCACAACGACAACCACGCCCAACCGUUUCACAGCAACGGAUACAAUUGUAGUGUUGUAUAAUGAACUAACCAUAGGGAGAACCUCGUUAGGAUCCAAUACAAGAACCUAUAGUACACUUCCCGUAAACCCAACCGUACGAAGAGCCCUGUGACCAGGUUUGUUAACACGAAGACAAGUAUUGUUAAUCCUGGCUGACCCUAUUCGUCCACCUCCAAUGAGUCCUCUCUAACUUCUCUACCAUGUACCUGCCCUUGUUACCUUUCAGUCUAAGUUCCAGUUCAGGUAUUCUAAUCUUUAGGCCGUGUUCAUUACUUAGCCGUAGUUCCAUCUUGUACGUAUGAGACGAACUAGCCUCAAGCGCCGCAAAGUCUCCAAUUGAUGCCAAGAAAGUCAUACAGUUCUUACUUACCUACCUUGUAAACAUCCGCGUCUGUACAGCCUCCAACAAGGAGUUCUAGCUCGUUUGCCAUUGUCACUCAGUCACUGCGUCCGAGGUGAUCUCUUCCUUCUUGUAUGAUAGAGACAAAGACUUAUAAUAUGUAAAACCGUCAAGUUAAAUUUGACGUUUUUGCAGAAUAUAAAUCCUUAUCUACCACAUAAUGAGUUCCCCGUGAACUAAAAGACAUUAAAGAUGAUGAGGAAGUCGUACAUUUUAUACGGAACCUAGCGACACCCGACCACCGUGAUCACAACAAAACAUAACUAACUAAAACCAACACUAAUCAUUUGUACCACAAAGAUAUAGG
Molecule: ribosomal RNA, 2602 nt
Filed under: Triticum aestivum (bread wheat)
Lineage: Eukaryota; Viridiplantae; Streptophyta; Magnoliopsida; Poales; Poaceae
Description: partial small subunit ribosomal RNA
Source: RNAcentral